Molecule: ribosomal RNA, 465 nt
Filed under: uncultured bacterium
Lineage: Bacteria
Description: partial 16S ribosomal RNA
Rfam family: Bacterial small subunit ribosomal RNA
Source: RNAcentral
CGAACGCUGGCGGCGUGCUUCACACAUGCAAGUCGAACGGUGAAGCAGAGCUUGCUCUGUGGAUCAGUGGCGAACGGGUGAGUAACACGUGAGUAACCUGCCCUUGACUCUGGGAUAAGCGUUGGAAACGACGUCUAAUACCGGAUACGAGCUGAGACCGCAUGGUCAUCAGUUGGAAAGAUUUUUUGGUCAAGGAUGGACUCGCGGCCUAUCAGCUUGUUGGUGAGGUAAUGGCUCACCAAGGCGACGACGGGUAGCCGGCCUGAGAGGGUGACCGGCCACACUGGGACUGAGACACGGCCCAGACUCCUACGGGAGGCAGCAGUGGGGAAUAUUGCACAAUGGGCGCAAGCCUGAUGCAGCAACGCCGCGUGAGGGAUGACGGCCUUCGGGUUGUAAACCUCUUUUAGUAGGGAAGAAGCGAAAGUGACGGUACCUGCAGAAAAAGCACCGGCUAACUACGUG